Molecule: ribosomal RNA, 255 nt
Filed under: uncultured bacterium
Lineage: Bacteria
Description: partial 16S ribosomal RNA
Rfam family: Bacterial small subunit ribosomal RNA
Source: RNAcentral
AUUGGAGCGGCCGAUGGCAGAUUAGGUAGUUGGUGGGAUAAAAGCUUACCAAGCCGACGAUCUGUAGCUGGUCUGAGAGGACGACCAGCCACACUGGGACUGAGACACGGCCCAGACUCCUACGGGAGGCAGCAGUGGGGAAUUUUGGACAAUGGGCGAAAGCCUGAUCCAGCAAUGCCGCGUGCAGGAUGAAGGCCUUCGGGUUGUAAACUGCUUUUGUACGGAACGAAAAAGCUUCUCCUAAUACGAGAGGCC